RNAcentral lists this long non-coding RNA (1564 nucleotides) under Homo sapiens (human). Its description in RNAcentral is "non-protein coding LINC00667:6". Lineage: Eukaryota; Metazoa; Chordata; Mammalia; Primates; Hominidae. The record is from RNAcentral.
GUGAGCGCACGCAACCGUGCAGUCAGAUUCCUCCGCCGACCGCGGCCCUCUCUCCUCGGGCUUUGCCUUCGCUCUCUAGCUUUUCUUCUUUCACUCCCGCUCGCCGACUCCAGCCCGCUGGGCUCACGCUCUGCCGGACACCAAUCCCGGCGGCCCUGCCCGACGGAGCUCAAGGCUAGGCCUGGCCUUGUCCGCGGAGUCCGCCCCUCGCCGCCACCGGGAUCCGCCCCCGCGCCGACACGCACUUCCGGCAGCGCCGCGGCCGGGAGGGACCGAGCGGGGAGCAAGGCCUGCGGGGAGGCGCAGGAUGGACGCGUUGGCUGUCAUGAUGUAGGACCUCCUGACCUAGAACCAUGCCCGGCGCAGGGAGAACAACGAGCUUACGGACCGGGUGCGGGGGCUGCUGUGCGAGAAAGCCUACCUGCUGGCCCGGGAGCGUUCGCCGGCCCACCUGGUGGCUUUCCCUGGACGUUUAACGGCGACUCCGCCCGGCCUCCCGACUUUUUGAUGCAGGCGUUCUCUUACAUGACUUUCUUCGAGGCUAGAUUCUCGAAAGACAUCCUGAAGGUGGCUUUCUUAAUUAGCUGCCUCACCGGCUGGCGGAGCAGUUCGUAGUCGCCUACAUCGAGAGGGAGAGCCCCGUCCUGGCUCAGUACUGGGGCUUCGUGGACGCGCUGUAGCGGGUCUUCGCCGUCGUGGGUAGGAAACAGUCGGGCCGGAUCCCCGGUGUCUGGGGAGCGGCUGCCGGCCGGGCCCGCGCGAGCCGCUUCACUCCUACAAGCCCGGCUCACUAGUUCCAAGCUGCUGGACUUUGACCCUCGCUGGGAAGCUUGAUCGCCGCCUGUUCUCGCCAAUCUCUAUGCCUUUGCACUGCCCAGCAACCCGGUCACUGCCCAGGACCUGUUAAAAGUUGAAUGGACCUCCCAGAAUCACGCCGCUGCCACCGCCGUUUCUAGAGACGGCUUUUGGCCACCUUUGAGAAUCAGGGUCAAACUUGGAAGGGCCUGCAUUUGUCACACUUCCUCGGACACUAAUUUGGAUAGUUCAGGCCCAGAGACGGCUUCCCGGGUUAGUGUGCCUGACAACACUGAAGAAAAAUUGUGACAUUUUCCUUCCCCAGAAUUACUUCGUUUUAUACAUUUCACUUCUCUUCUGAAAUCACAGCAAUGCCAGUUUGCGCCUUUUGGUCUGAGGAACGCAGGCCCUGGCCACUACCAGGAAAAAGUAUUUACUUUUAAAACUUGAAUGUAUAUCUUUACCGUAUGCCUAGUACAGUAGUGCUUGGAAGAAACAGAUUAGUAAGACAAAAUAUAUGUCUUCAAGAACACUUACGUUCUGAGAAAGAAUUCUGAAUGCAGAUUCUAAUGUCUGGUAAAAUGCUUUACAGUGUAAAGAAUGCAUAUAUGAUUCUUAUUUUAUGGCAUUUUAAACUUUCCACCCCACGGUUUUAAAGUGUUAAUAUAUGUUAAAAAUAUAUGCAAUUUAUAAAGGAGAAGGAAAGCCCAGCUUGAUUUUUGCUGCCAAAGAUGGUAUAUUUAAAAUUAAACGUAACUAAUGGCAAAAA